This 248-nucleotide long non-coding RNA is filed under the name Lathyrus oleraceus (garden pea). Its description in RNAcentral is "Pisum sativum (pea) long non-coding RNA (PSAT_LNC031389)". Lineage: Eukaryota; Viridiplantae; Streptophyta; Magnoliopsida; Fabales; Fabaceae. The record is from RNAcentral.
UAUCAUCAAGUACGAAAUUGUAUUUAUUUAAAUAAAUUCAAAAUGUAAUCAUGCUGUAAUAAAUCCAAAUCACUAAUGUGAUUUAACAAUAAUGUGCUAAAAAUAAUAAUCCUUUGAAUGUGCCAUUGUAAAAACAAUUUAGUUCAUCCAUAAAUUUCUUAGACUCUAAUUAAUCAUCAACUUGUGAGUUGCUCACAUACCCACAACCUCCAUAGCUACACAUAUCUUCCAAGUUUUCGAAUCAUCCU